This is a long non-coding RNA of Carassius auratus (goldfish), 1851 nucleotides long. Lineage: Eukaryota; Metazoa; Chordata; Actinopteri; Cypriniformes; Cyprinidae. The record is from Ensembl.
AUGAUAGAACAGAUAAGGUUUGACAGUAUUGCUCUUGCUCCUCUCACUGCAUCUCUCACUGCUCCUGCUCCUCUCACUGCAUCUCUCACUGCUCCUGCUCCUCUCACUGCUCUUGCUCCUCUCACUGCAUCUCUCACUGCUCCUGCUCCUCUCACUGCUCCUGCUUCUCUCACUGCUCCUGCACCUCUCACUGCUCCUCUUACUGCUCCUCUCACUGCUCCUGCUCCUCUCACUGCAUCUCUCACUGCUCCUGCUUCUCUCACUGCUCCUGCACCUCUCACUGCUCCUCUUACUGCUCCUCUCACUGCUCCUGCUCCUCUCACUGCAUCUCUCACUGCUCCUGCUCCUCUCACUGCAUCUCUCACUGCUCCUGCUCCUCUCACUGCUCUUGCUCCUCUCACUGCAUCUCUCACUGCUCCUGCUCCUCUCACUGCUCCUGCUCCUCUCACUGCUCCUGCUUCUCUCACUGCUCCUGCACCUCUCACUGCUCCUCUUACUGCUCCUCUCACUGCUCCUGCUCAUCUCACUGCUCUUGCACCUCUCACUGCUCCUGCUCCUCUCACUGCUCAUCUCACUGCUCCUGCUCCUCUCACUGCUCCUCUCACUGCUCCUGCUCCUCUCACUGCUCCUGCUCAUCUCACUGCUCCUCUCAAUGCUCCUGCUCCUCUCACUGCUCCUGCUCCUCUCACUGCUCCUCUCACUGCAUCUCUCACUGCUCCUCUUACUGCUCCUCUCACUGCUCCUGCUCAUCUCACUGCUCUUGCACCUCUCACUGCUCCUGCUCCUCUCACUGCUCAUCUCACUGCUCCUGCUCCUCUCACUGCUCCUGCUCCUCUCACUGCUCCUGCUCCUCUCACUGCUCCUGCUUCUCUCACUGCUCCUGCACCUCUCACUGCUCCUCUUACUGCUCCUCUCACUGCUCCUGCUCAUCUCACUGCUCUUGCACCUCUCACUGCUCCUGCUCCUCUCACUGCUCCUGCUCCUCUCACUGCUCCUCUCACUGCUCCUGCUCCUCUCACUGCUCCUGCUCCUCUCACUGCUCCUCUCACUGCUCCUGCUCAUCUCACUGCUCCUCUCAAUGCUCCUGCUCCUCUCACUGCUCCUGCUCCUCUCACUGCUCCUCUCAAUGCUCCUGCUCCUCUCACUGCUCCUGCUCCUCUCACUGCUCCUCUCACUGCUCCUGCUCCUCUCACUGCUCCUGCUCCUCUCACUGCUCCUCUCACUGCUCCUCUCACUGCAUCUCUCACUGCUCCUGCUCCUCUCACUGCUCCUCUCACUGCAUCUCUCACUGCUCCUCUUACUGCUCCUCUCACUGCUCCUGCUCAUCUCACUGCUCUUGCACCUCUCACUGCUCCUGCUCCUCUCACUGCUCAUCUCACUGCUCCUGCUCCUCUCACUGCUCCUCUCACUGCUCCUGCUCCUCUCACUGCUCCUGCUCCUCUCACUGCUCCUGCUCCUCUCACUGCUCCUGCUCAUCUCACUGCUCUUUCACCUCUCACUGCUCCUGCUCCUCUCACUGCUCCUGCUCAUCUCACUGCUCCUCUCAAUGCUCCUGCUCCUCUCACUGCUCCUCUCACUGCUCCUGCUCCUCUCACUGCUCCUGCUCCUCUCACUGCUCCUCUCACUGCUCCUGCUCCUCUCACUGCUCCUCUCACUGCUCCUCUCACUGCAUCUCUCACUGCUCCUCUCACUGCUCCUCUCACUGCUCCUCUCACUGCUCCUGCUCCUCUCACUGCUCCUGCUCUUCUCCCUGGGCCCCUUGCUCUUACUCUUCCUCGUCCAUACAUUACAGUGUUUGUCUUUUCUGUUUCCAAAAAUAUCACUCUUCAAAGUCCUCCCUUUAUUGUAUAA